Molecule: ribosomal RNA, 1372 nt
Filed under: uncultured bacterium
Lineage: Bacteria
Description: bacterial SSU rRNA
Rfam family: Bacterial small subunit ribosomal RNA
Source: RNAcentral
GAUGAACGCUGGCGGCGUGCCUAAUACAUGCAAGUCGAGCGAACGGACGAGAAGCUUGCUUCUCUGAUGUUAGCGGCGGACGGGUGAGUAACACGUGGAUAACCUACCUAUAAGACUGGGAUAACCUCGGGAAACCGUAGCUAAUACCGGAUAAUAUUUUGAACCGCAUGGUUCAAAAGUGAAAGACGGUCUUGCUGUCACUUAUAGAUGGAUCCGCGCUGCAUUAGCUAGUUGGUAAGGUAACGGCUUACCAAGGCAACGAUGCAUAGCCGACCUGAGAGGGUGAUCGGCCACACUGGAACUGAGACACGGUCCAGACUCCUACGGGAGGCAGCAGUAGGGAAUCUUCCGCAAUGGGCGAAAGCCUGACGGAGCAACGCCGCGUGAGUGAUGAAGGUCUUCGGAUCGUAAAACUCUGUUAUUAGGGAAGAACAUAUGUGUAAGUAACUGUGCACAUCUUGACGGUACCUAAUCAGAAAGCCACGGCUAACUACGUGCCAGCAGCCGCGGUAAUACGUAGGUGGCAAGCGUUAUCCGGAAUUAUUGGGCGUAAAGCGCGCGUAGGCGGUUUUUUAAGUCUGAUGUGAAAGCCCACGGCUCAACCGUGGAGGGUCAUUGGAAACUGGAAAACUUGAGUGCAGAAGAGGAAAGUGGAAUUCCAUGCGUAGCGGUGAAAUGCGCAGAGAUAUGGAGGAACACCAGUGGCGAAGGCGACUUUCUGGUCUGUAACUGACGCUGAUGUGCGAAAGCGUGGGGAUCAAACAGGAUUAGAUACCCUGGUAGUCCACGCCGUAAACGAUGAGUGCUAAGUGUUAGGGGGUUUCCGCCCCUUAGUGCUGCAGCUAACGCAUUAAGCACUCCGCCUGGGGAGUACGACCGCAAGGUUGAAACUCAAAGGAAUUGACGGGGACCCGCACAAGCGGUGGAGCAUGUGGUUUAAUUCGAAGCAACGCGAAGAACCUUACCAAAUCUUGACAUCCUUUGACAACUCUAGAGAUAGAGCCUUCCCCUUCGGGGGACAAAGUGACAGGUGGUGCAUGGUUGUCGUCAGCUCGUGUCGUGAGAUGUUGGGUUAAGUCCCGCAACGAGCGCAACCCUUAAGCUUAGUUGCCAUCAUUAAGUUGGGCACUCUAAGUUGACUGCCGGUGACAAACCGGAGGAAGGUGGGGAUGACGUCAAAUCAUCAUGCCCCUUAUGAUUUGGGCUACACACGUGCUACAAUGGACAAUACAAAGGGCAGCGAAACCGCGAGGUCAAGCAAAUCCCAUAAAGUUGUUCUCAGUUCGGAUUGUAGUCUGCAACUCGACUACAUGAAGCUGGAAUCGCUAGUAAUCGUAGAUCAGCAUGCUACGGUGAAUACGUUCCCGGGUCU